This 490-nucleotide ribosomal RNA is filed under the name uncultured bacterium. Its description in RNAcentral is "partial 16S ribosomal RNA". It matches the Rfam family "Bacterial small subunit ribosomal RNA", at positions 30 to 507 of the family's 1533-position model. The record is from RNAcentral.
AUUGAACGCUGGCGGCAGGCCUAACACAUGCAAGUCGAACGGUAACAGGAAGAAGCUUGCUUCUUUGCGGACGAGUGGCGGACGGGUGAGUAAUGUCUGGGAAACUGCCUGAUGGAGGGGGAUAACUACUGGAAACGGUAGCUAAUACCGCAUAACGUCGCAAGACCAAAAAGGGGGACCUUCGGGCCUCUUGCCAUCGGAUGUGCCCAGAUGGGGAUAGCUAGUAGGUGGGGUAACGGCUCACCUAGGCGACGAUCCCUAUCGUCUCUGAGAGGAUGGCCAGCCGCACUGGAACUGAGACACGGUCCAGACUCCUACGGGAGGCAGCAGUAGCGACUAUUGCACAAUGGGCGCAAGCCUGAUGCAGCCAUGCCGCGUGUAUGAAGAAGGCCUUCGGGUUGUAAAGUACUUUCAGCGGGGAGGAAGGGAGUAAAGUUAAUACCUUUGCUGAUUGACGUUACCCGCAGAAGAAGCGCCGGCUAACUCCGUG